CAUGCAUGCCCGCUCACCCGGGACGCGGCGGACGGCUCAGGACAACGGUUGCACCCCCCGCGGCGGUCCCUGCUAGCCGGACACCGCUGGCAACCCGGCGCCAAGACGUGCGCGCAAGGGCGGGCGCCCGCGGGCGAGCAGCGUGACGCAGCGACGGCCCGCCCGGGCUUCCGGGGCAUCACCCGGUCGGCGCG
RNAcentral lists this ribosomal RNA (194 nucleotides) under Giardia duodenalis. Its description in RNAcentral is "Giardia intestinalis partial small subunit ribosomal RNA". Lineage: Eukaryota; Fornicata; Diplomonadida; Hexamitidae. The record is from RNAcentral.